GGUUUCAGCACCAGAAUUUGAACCCAUGAAAGGUUUCCUGAUGCCGACACAGACUUGCACCAAACUUGGCUGUCCGAACCUUCCGGGAGCUUGUUAAAAUAGAGAAAUACCUUUCUCCUUCGCAUCUUUCUCCACUACGACCGGCUUGGAUCUCAUCUUCACUCGUUUCCACUCCCCACGGCUCUGUCGGGUUCUGACCACGUGAGAGAUGGACACCACACGAGAUCACCAUCAAACGAGGGACAGCCACGGCUUUAGAAGAAAGCUGCCAGUGUGGAUUUGCUUGUGUUUUAGGCCCGGAGUCAUCUGAUUUUCACGAGACGGUAACGCCGCAAAGGUUUACAGCUCAAGGCUCAGACCAUGGUAAAGAUCCACCAGGUGAAAUUUCGUUUUCCUGGACUGAAUGGUGAACUUCCUGAAAGUCUAAACAAGGGCCUCUCGAGCUGUCACGUGUGGUCGCGCCUGAACCCGUGCCCAUGGUGCUAAGUCAUAAGGACACAGCUGGCAGAUCCAAGGACCCCGUGACAUCCGUACUUGCAGCUGACAAUUUUCAAGAACUUGAGUUUUAAGGCUAAUAACAAAUAGGUUGAAACCCAGCUUCGCAAAGAUACAACACGUUGAAAGAAAUGUGGUGUGAUUUCACGCUGAAACUGUGAACUCCCCCUCGGACUUGCGGUUUGUGCAGCAUCCAAACAGAAAUCAGCAAAAGAUUCUGAUACAUGUGGAAUGUGACUGAAAAGAAGCUGCCAAAAUUGUGCUCCAAGAAGAACAAGGCUUUGUACUUCAUCAGAGAAUCUGGUGGCUUUCAUGAGCCAGAGAACAACAGGGCUUAUGAAGUAGUUUCACGAAGGGCUUAGUCAGUACAAGACCAGUACUUUCUUCUGGAUACCCUGAAAUAUUUACGAGACUGCGUCUGCUUUAGGAAGAAGCUAGAGGUGAAGACACCGAGGCACAAAGAAGUUAGGUGGCCACCCCAAGCGCCCACUGCUGACGGAGCUGACUCUCCUGAUGGCUCAGGACAAUUCUCAGAACAACCCGCUGAUUUAGGGACGACCUUUAGUCCCCCAACCAUCGGCCAGCCUUUCCUGCUAACGCUUAUCUGGUGUGUCCUGAGAAACUGAGGUUAAUGAAGAGGAACGAGAGGAGAUAGAAGAAGACGAUGCCAUUUAUGGCCGUGCGGCCACACCCUCAGGCUCUUCUCCGCGACAUCCGGGCUGGGGCGCGGGCCCCACAAGGAGCAGAGGAGGCGGCGGACACGUGGAGUCCCCCGAGGCCUGCGGUCCACGUGGAGACACACCUGGGGACGCACCGUGAUGUGAUGGCGUCAGGGCACCUGUGGCGCCAGGAGGGCAGUGAGCCGAGGGGUGCCCAGAGAGGUCCCCUUGGGGGGCUCCCAGCUAAACCCACAGAGAGUUCUCUCCUUCCACCUGCACCACCAGGCCCCGAGCUCCACCCCAGGCUCCCCGGCCCUUCACCAGGUGUCUCUCCCUCCACCUUGGUCUAGUUUGAAGCUGAGACAGCGGGUCACACGCCUUCUACUCCGCGCGAUUGGGAGGACACAUUUCUUGUCCUUUAAUAAAGAAAGAGAGGGCGGAAGCGCACGGGAAGUGAGCAGAGGUAGAAUCGGAAAAGGCAGAGGACGUAACAGGUGGGUGCCGAAGACCGUCCAACGUCCUGGGCAGUCAGGACGUGCGAGACUCUUCCACACCCCUGCACUCCGGAGCCCACGGGUCUCGGCUAAGGUGUCCGAAUUUGGAAGGAGAGGAAACAAGCUUACUCUGAUACUCCUGCUGUCACCACUGGAGGGCACCCAGAGCGGGGCUGAUGGAGGGUACUGGCCCUGAGGCCGGAGCCCAGCUGUUACCCCAAGGUCGCGCGUGUGGAAAAUGGGGGGCGGGUUGGGAAGCUGCGGCUGUGAGGACGGACAGCGAUGCCGAAGGCCGAGCAGAGCCUCGUGUGCUCCCCGUGGGGCUUGAUUUGGGCCCAUCCUGGGACUCAAGAAAACCAGGAGACACAGGCUGCCUAGCGCUGCUCGCAGCCCGCGCUGCUCCAGCCCCAGCCUCUGCGGCUCAGGUGCGCCGGGAACGGGCCCAGGAGGAUGGAGCAGAGAGCAACGCUACACCCACGUCUCCCGCGCCCCCGGGCCCUCCCUGAUGUUCCCGCAGGGGACUCGUGCCAUUUGUUCCUCUGAGAUCCCGGCCGUCUCUUCUCUCUACUUUAGAGAUCUGUAUCUAUCAGAGUGUUCCCAGAUGCGAGGGGACCCUUAGACACACAGCUUUGUUGCAGUGUCCUGGGGGAGGGGGCUUCUGGAAGUCCCGAGGCUCAGGGCACAGCCUUGAUUACGUACCGGUGGUGACUGUCCUUACUGGACAGGCCUCUGCCUCAGUGUGUUCAGCUGGUCCCUCUGGGCGGGAAGCUGGGAGGUGGGUCCUCAGCCCCCGCUGGUGUUGAGAGCAGAGAGGAGGCCUCAUGAGAAGCCCCCGGGGCGGGGGGUAUGCACACAGCUGAGGGUGCAGGAGGGACCAGUGAGAUUCCCGCCACUUUCAUUAGCCACGUGUUUACAUUCCAAAGCCGCACGGUCCAGGUCCAGAGGGGUAGGCAGGGGCCAUUGUGUGUGACCAUUCAAAUUAAAAUUAAGUGAAAUAAGACAUUCAGUUUCUCUGUCACACCAGCCACAGUUCAAGUGCUCAACACCCGCGUGGGCUAGUGAUCGCGUUGGGUACGGAACCCCUCCAUCAACGCAGAAGGUUCACUGGUCGUUGCCUCUAGAGAGACCCUGUCCACUGUGACUCUGGAUUCUUGCUUUACUCGUGGGCUUGUCUUCAGAUACAGCCGAGUCCCAUUAAGAAGUCAUCCUUUUGUAUUAUGAAUACGUCUACGUUUUAUUUUUAUUUUGAGGCCAGUUUAAAUCUUUUUUUUUUUCAGUUUGAUAGUAAGAUGAGAAGCCAUUUGAUUUGUUUGUUUUAAUCUCUCCUGUACUUGGAUUUCGUGUGUAAUGAUGUCGUCGUAGUGGGGUCUGGAGUGGUCUAGCGUCUUGCUUCUCUGCAGGACGCCUGUUCUGUGAGCAGCACAGUCUAUACCUCUCAUGAUGAAUUGUCACUAUCCACACUUUCUACUGAGAAAAAUGUUCGAAACAAUAUGUUUACAGCAUGCAAUCAACAAAAAGCUAAGAACACUUUAUAUUCAAUCAAAAUUUUUCAUUUAUCUUAGUUUUGAUAAAGUCUCUAAGAGGGCCUGUAAGUUAACAUUAAAUACUGAGUGAAUAAAAAUUUCUGAGCCAAUAUAAGCACUUCAGCUCAGGGCUGACCAUCCAUCUGGUCUCCAAAUGGCUGGUCUUCAUGAGGAGGGAGAGGUAGGGAGUAGGAAACAUGCACUUCCAUUCAGAGCGGCUCCUGCAGGGAGCAGACAGGUGUGAGAACAGGUGCCUGUACAGACCAGCAAAGCUGACUAUUGAACCACCAACAUCUGAAUAAGUUUUAAAAGGAUUUCAUUUCAUCAUGAAUGAAACCUCUUAAACAACUAAUGGUAAAUCUGAGUGACACAGUGGUUAAGAGACCUGGCUUUAAAGGGACAUAGACACACGUGAGAUCAGGUCCCAAAUGUUCCCAAGAGCAGGUGACCACAGGCGAGUGGCAGUUUGUUUCUGCUUUACAAACUCUGGAUAACGCUUGAACGUACCUCAUAUUGUUGGAGGAUUCGAUACAGGUUUAUUAGCCUUAGCACUGUGCCUGGCGUGUCAUAAGUGCUCAAAAGCUGUUAUGAUAGCCAUGACUAUUCUUACUCUAAAUACUACGGAGAGAAAAAAUUAAAUGAAACCACAGGGUGCUACAUUAGGAAGCUGGACUUCAAAGGUGUACGUGUGUGUAACGCAUGGGACAGCAGGAGCAGGACACCCCAGCUACACAUGAUAGGUACUCAAUCAAUAUGUUUAGUGAAUAAAACAAUGUUGAGAGACUAUUUCCUACUCUAUCUCUGAAGCUUGGGUUUUUGUGGACUUUUGUCUUUUUAAAAAAUGGAUUGAUAAAUUCAUCCAAAAGGAAGAGGUAGAAUGGAAAAUUGGUUUAGCCCCACCCCACCCCAAACCCAUCCACACCCCCUCCUAGUGAUAGAACAAUCACAGUUUGCAGCCUCAGAAAAGCUCCCUGAGAGCAACAGGCAUUUCAGUGUCUUUCUGACCUAGGAAUCAGGACUGCUUCUAUAUUCAGUGUGAAAUCUCUCUGAAACGUUCACGUGUCUCAUUUGCCUCAACUGUAGCCUUUGUUUCUUCUGUGACUUGUCAACUUUCAGGUUUGAAAAUGGUGUCGAUAAAAUAUGGCCAGUAAAUGAGUCAACUAAACACAUUUGUCUCAACAAGAAAGCUGCAAGGAAGUGUGACUGUAUUUUUAGAAACAAGUAUAGUAGACACCACAUAAGUGAGUGAGCUCUUCAAGAAAGUUUAUCCUCCCUGUUCAAAAUGUGAUCAGAACA
Long non-coding RNA from Balaenoptera acutorostrata (minke whale), 4467 nucleotides. RefSeq lists it as uncharacterized. Lineage: Eukaryota; Metazoa; Chordata; Mammalia; Artiodactyla; Balaenopteridae. The record is from RefSeq and is a predicted model, not a curated record. The transcript has 10 exons.